Molecule: transfer RNA, 88 nt
Filed under: Alistipes sp.
Lineage: Bacteria; Pseudomonadati; Bacteroidota; Bacteroidia; Bacteroidales; Rikenellaceae
Description: tRNA-Ser
Rfam family: tRNA
About the family: Transfer RNA (tRNA) molecules are approximately 80 nucleotides in length. Their secondary structure includes four short double-helical elements and three loops (D, anti-codon, and T loops).
Source: RNAcentral
GGAGAAAUGACCGAGUGGCUGAAGGUGCGCGCCUGGAAAGUGCGUAUGCUCCAAAAGGGCAUCGUGGGUUCGAAUCCCGCUUUCUCCG